GUGCCAGCAGCCGCGGUAAUACGUAGGGGGCAAGCGUUAUCCGGAAUUAUUGGGCGUAAAGAGUGCGUAGGUGGUUACCUAAGCAGGGGGUGAAAGGCACUGGCUUAACCAAUGUCAGCCCCCUGAACUGGGCUACUUGAGUGCAGGAGAGGAAAGUGGAAUUCCUAGUGUAGCGGUGAAAUGCGUAGAUAUUAGGAGGAACACCAGUGGCGAAGGCGACUUUCUGGACUGUUACUGACACUGAGGCACGAAAGUGUGGGGAGCAAACAGGAUUAGAUACCCUGGUAGUCCACACCGUAAACGAUGAGCACUAGGUGUCGGGGGAGCAAUUUCUCGGUGCCGCAGUUAACGCAUUAAGUGCUCCGCCUGGGGAGUACGUACGCAAGUAUGAAACUCAAAGGAAUUGACGGGGACCCGCACAAGCAGCGGAGCAUGUGGUUUAAUUCGAAGCAACGCGAAGAACCUUACCAGGUCUUGACAUCCCUCUGAAACUCCUGAUAACGAUGGAGCCUCCUUCGGGACAGAGGAGACAGGUGGUGCAUGGUUGUCGUCAGCUCGUGUCGUGAGAUGUUGGGUUAAGUCCCGCAACGAGCGCAACCCUUGCCGAUAGUUGCCAUCAUUAAGUUGGGCACUCUAUCGGGACUGCCGGGGACAACUCGGAGGAAGGUGGGGAUGACGUCAAAUCAUCAUGCCCCUUAUGAUCUGGGCUACACACGUGCUACAAUGGUCGGUACAAAAGGCAGCAAACCUGUGAGGGGGAGCAAAUCCCAAAAACCGAUCCCAGUUCGGACUGUAGGCUGCAACUCGCCUACACGAAGUCGGAGUUGCUAGUAAUCGUGGAUCAGAAUGCCACGGUGAAUGCGUUCCCGGGUCUUGUACACACCGCCCGU
RNAcentral lists this ribosomal RNA (890 nucleotides) under uncultured bacterium. Its description in RNAcentral is "bacterial SSU rRNA". It matches the Rfam family "Bacterial small subunit ribosomal RNA", at positions 505 to 1397 of the family's 1533-position model. The record is from RNAcentral.